AGAGUUUGAUCCUGGCUCAGGAUGAACGCUAGCUACAGGCUUAACACAUGCAAGUCGAGGGGCAUCAGGAAGAAAGCUUGCUUUCUUUGCUGGCGACCGGCGCACGGGUGAGUAACACGUAUCCAACCUGCCCUUUACUCGGGGAUAGCCUUUCGAAAGAAAGAUUAAUACCCGAUGGCAUAAUGAUUCCGCAUGGUUUCAUUAUUAAAGGAUUCCGGUAAAGGAUGGGGAUGCGUUCCAUUAGGUUGUUGGUGAGGUAACGGCUCACCAAGCCUUCGAUGGAUAGGGGUUCUGAGAGGAAGGUCCCCCACAUUGGAACUGAGACACGGUCCAAACUCCUACGGGAGGCAGCAGUGAGGAAUAUUGGUCAAUGGGCGCUAGCCUGAACCAGCCAAGUAGCGUGAAGGAUGAAGGCUCUAUGGGUCGUAAACUUCUUUUAUAUAAGAAUAAAGUGCAGUAUGUAUACUGUUUUGUAUGUAUUAUAUGAAUAAGGAUCGGCUAACUCCGUGCCAGCAGCCGCGGUAAUACGGAGGAUCCGAGCGUUAUCCGGAUUUAUUGGGUUUAAAGGGAGCGUAGGUGGACUGGUAAGUCAGUUGUGAAAGUUUGCGGCUCAACCGUAAAAUUGCAGUUGAUACUGUCAGUCUUGAGUACAGUAGAGGUGGGCGGAAUUCGUGGUGUAGCGGUGAAAUGCUUAGAUAUCACGAAGAACUCCGAUUGCGAAGGCAGCUCACUGGACUGCAACUGACACUGAUGCUCGAAAGUGUGGGUAUCAAACAGGAUUAGAUACCCUGGUAGUCCACACAGUAAACGAUGAAUACUCGCUGUUUGCGAUAUACAGUAAGCGGCCAAGCGAAAGCAUUAAGUAUUCCACCUGGGGAGUACGCCGGCAACGGUGAAACUCAAAGGAAUUGACGGGGGCCCGCACAAGCGGAGGAACAUGUGGUUUAAUUCGAUGAUACGCGAGGAACCUUACCCGGGCUUAAAUUGCAGUGGAAUGAUGUGGAAACAUGUCAGUGAGCAAUCACCGCUGUGAAGGUGCUGCAUGGUUGUCGUCAGCUCGUGCCGUGAGGUGUCGGCUUAAGUGCCAUAACGAGCGCAACCCUUAUCUUCAGUUACUAACAGGUUAUGCUGAGGACUCUGGAGAGACUGCCGUCGUAAGAUGUGAGGAAGGUGGGGAUGACGUCAAAUCAGCACGGCCCUUACGUCCGGGGCUACACACGUGUUACAAUGGGGGGUACAGAAGGCAGCUAGCGGGUGACCGUAUGCUAAUCCCAAAAGCCUCUCUCAGUUCGGAUCGAAGUCUGCAACCCGACUUCGUGAAGCUGGAUUCGCUAGUAAUCGCGCAUCAGCCACGGCGCGGUGAAUACGUUCCCGGGCCUUGUACACACCGCCCGUCAAGCCAUGGGAGCCGGGGGUACCUGAAGUACGUAACCGCAAGGAUCGUCCUAGGGUAAAACUGGUGACUGGGGCUAAGUCGUAACAAGGUAGCCGUACCGGAAGGUGCGGCUG
RNAcentral lists this ribosomal RNA (1509 nucleotides) under Bacteroides fragilis. Its description in RNAcentral is "bacterial SSU rRNA". It matches the Rfam family "Bacterial small subunit ribosomal RNA". RNAcentral also lists the same sequence under 1 other name. Lineage: Bacteria; Pseudomonadati; Bacteroidota; Bacteroidia; Bacteroidales; Bacteroidaceae. The record is from RNAcentral.